UACGUAGGGGGCGAGCGUUGUCCGGAUUUAUUGGGCGUAAAGAGCGUGUAGGCGGCCAGGUAGGUCCGUUGUGAAAACUCGAGGCUCAACCUCGAGACGUCGAUGGAAACCAUCUGGCUAGAGUCCGGAAGAGGAGAGUGGAAUUCCUGGUGUAGCGGUGAAAUGCGCAGAUAUCAGGAAGAACACCUAUGGCGAAGGCAGAUCUCUGGGCCGUAACUGACGCUGAGGAGCGAAAGCAUGGGGAGCGAACAGG
This 253-nucleotide ribosomal RNA is filed under the name uncultured bacterium. Its description in RNAcentral is "partial 16S ribosomal RNA". It matches the Rfam family "Bacterial small subunit ribosomal RNA", at positions 524 to 776 of the family's 1533-position model. The record is from RNAcentral.